AGAGCAAAGUCAUGCCUUGAUGAGAGAGGUCAGAGCCUUUGGAAGAGAGAAGAAAAAUUCAAUUGAAAAAUCAGUUCUAUAUUUGGAGCAACAGCAACAACAACAAAAAGCUUUUUCAAAGGAAAGAAAGCAGGAGAAGCACAACACAAUGACCUUGCAAUUUCCACAGCCCCAGCCAGGCUAACCCUUGAAAAAUGCAGCAGUGAAGUGAGUGGAACAGCUUGUGGAAAAGCCUGACAUCCCCCAGAGCUCCAGUUACACUCCCGUGCUCAGAACAGCCUCUGCAGCAGAAGGCUGGCCCAGAUGACAGGAAAAUAACAGCAAAAAACCAAUAAACAACCACAUUUAUUUC
Serinus canaria (Common canary) is the source of this 352-nucleotide long non-coding RNA. RefSeq lists it as uncharacterized. The transcript has 2 exons. The record is from RefSeq and is a predicted model, not a curated record. NCBI's taxonomy places the organism in Eukaryota, Metazoa, Chordata, Aves, Passeriformes, Fringillidae.